This 429-nucleotide long non-coding RNA is filed under the name Rattus norvegicus (Norway rat). RNAcentral describes it as "long non-coding RNA NONRATT033616". The record is from RNAcentral. Lineage: Eukaryota; Metazoa; Chordata; Mammalia; Rodentia; Muridae.
GGUUGCAGCACUGGGAAGAUCGAGAACUUCUGUAACGUAACAGCUAUCUGAUGUUCUCCCUUUUAGAAACCAGAGAGCCCUGUCCUGAGUGAACGAAUUGAAAGCUGGGUCUGGAAAGGGGCAUAUGCCAUAGCACAGUGGUUAGCUACUGUCAUUCAGAGGCGCUCCAGUUUGGUGUCUGUUUCCCUUCAUCUGUCACACAUUUGUCUCCACAUCUCAGAGCAGACACGGACCCGUUCGACAUUCUGUGCCUUCGCAGCUAAGACUCACAGGUGAGAAACCUUGGUCUCCUGGUUACAGAAUCACAACACACAUCAAUGUCUGCCUGGCUCCACAAUGAAGAUCCUCCCCUGCCUUUCUGAAGUGGUGCGUGCUGUGUGGACUUACAUAAGUGAAAUACCGGCUCGAAGAAGCAAGAACAAAUUCAAC